Molecule: long non-coding RNA, 2352 nt
Filed under: Marmota monax (woodchuck)
Lineage: Eukaryota; Metazoa; Chordata; Mammalia; Rodentia; Sciuridae
Source: RNAcentral
GAGGUGAGUCAGCUCUGCCCUAAUGAGUGGGUUCAUCCAUUCCCCCGUGAAUGGACUUGCAAGUUAAUGGUUAUCUCCGGAGCGGGCCUGCUACCAAAGCCAGUUUGGCAAGGUCUCUCAUGCGUUCCUGGCCUCUGGCCCUCAGGUGCCCUGCCCCACUUGAGCACUCUGCCAGCAAGGCUAUCACGGCUGACUUGGGGACAGAACCAUGAGCCAGAGUGGACCUCUCUUCUGGUCUGGUAUGGUGCUGCUGGCAGCAGGAAGGGGCCCGAGGGCAUCAGGAGGUCUGGGGAGGGCCGAGGCGGGAGAGGGCCUGUGCUCAGGUUUAGGUAAUUCUGACUACUAAUAAUGGAGGGUCUGAAAACAUCGAUUCAUUCAUUCAUUUGUUGGUUCAGCAGGUGAUGAUACAAACACCCCCAGGACCAUGGCCAGGCCUGUGAAUGGGAAGAAAUGGUCAAGAGAGUGUGGGCUGCUAGUCAGGGUCUGAAUUCUGCUUCUACCCCUAGGACCGUGUGACCCUGGACUAGUCACCUCACAGCUUUCCCCCACCAUGAAAGAAGGAGAACAAGAGUGAUGCUUUUCCUUCGUUAAGACCUAGAUUAAAUGGUGUCCUCUGCCAGGUGCCCACGGGCUUCCUCUGGACCCUGUGGUCCCACACGCUCACACCUGCUAUGCACAUGCCACCAAAGCUCCUUCUGAAAACAGCUGUGUGUGCUGCCCCGAGCUCAUGCCCUGGGUCCCCAGGCCUCUGCAGGUGGGAUCUCUGUGCCAACACCAGAUGAGACUGCCACCCGUCCCCCAACAUCUUGCUUAGGGAGGAAGGACAGAUGCCCUCUGGGAUGGCAACUUGUGGUCCCUGCAUCUGAGAAGGACAAAGGCAGGCAGAACUGAGGGUCACCACCAAGACUAUUUUCUCUGGGAAAACCUUUAAAUUCAGGCAUGCAGCAUUUCUGGUUCUACCCAGGAACAGCCCCAAAGCAAGUUCCAAGAUGAUUCCUGUAUCUGCCUUUCUUCUCCCUCUUCCCAGUUGCUCUCUGUUGCUUCCCAAAGCACCUUGCACCCAGAGUAUGGCAGCUGCCAUUGUAUUGAAAUGUAAGGGAAACAGUGAUCGGGGAUUGUAGGAAGCUUUCUGUGUAAUUUCUGUUUCUAAAGAUUGUCAACAAAACAAUAUCUCCCCUGCUCAACUGUCCCAGUUGCUCCCACGAGCAUCAAGAAUGUUUCCUCCCUGCCACCCCACCACCACCACCACCUGUCUCGUGUCAACCCCGUCCAUUCCUCUGAAGGCUGCUGCUGAGCGCUGGGAGUGUCCGGAACAUCUUGGGGAGGAUUUUGAAUUGGGUAAUUUGGGCUCCUCCAAUUUCCUAAGUUCUAUGAUGCCUGAGAUUUUGUUCUAUUGUUUCCUGCUAAAUUGAUGAACAAAUCCCCUCUCCCACCAGCUCUGGGCUUCAUAAGAUAACAGUAGGGACAGGUGCUGAAAGUGCUUCCGUGGAGAGCGAGGGAGGAGACGUGUGACCGCCCCCACCCCACCCUCGAGGGCACGUGCUUACAGAGCUAUGGCAACGCAUGUGUGAGCUCCUCUAAAGCCCCUGGAAAUCAAAUCUGGUGCCAUUGUUGGGUUUGGACCUGGAGUGUGUGCAGCACAGCAGCACAGCUGGCGUUAGGGACAAUCAGGCCAACAAGGUGUCCUACCGUGACCCAGAUGAUGGAGGAAACAGCAUCCCCCAUCCUUCCGUGUGCCUUGUCCCACUGGGCAUGUCCCCCAGGCCAGCUCCUGGUCUCCCCCGUGGCCCUGUGGGGUGCAGGGUCUGCAGAGGGCCACUCAAGAGAGGUCUGUGAAUUGCCAUAGGUCCUAAGACCUGCCCUGCUCAGCCCUCUGAUGAAAGCCGGCCGUUUUGGAAGCUGAGCUGGAGAAGAGACGCUGCGGUGCAUCCAGAGAGUGGGGGGUGCCUUCUCGCGGGAGAGAACAGAGCUGCCGUGGAGCAGCACACAGGAAACUUGGCUGCAUAUGGCUGAAAGAAAAAGAAACCUGCACAGGCUCGAGUCUGACUCUAGCUCCAGGACCCUGGAAAAGAACUCUGGAGACAGUCAAAGGAUCAGUGGGUGCCCGGGUGGGGGGACAGGGCAGGAACAGGUGGAGCACAGAGGGGUUUUAGGGCUGCGACUCUAUUCUGUCUGAUACUACAGUGGUGGACACGUCAUUAUACAUCUGUCCAAAUCCAGAAGAGGCACAGCCCAGGAGUGGACCUGAGCUUGAAGCACGGAUUGGGGGGUGGAUGAUGGCAGGUGAAUUGGGUUCAUUGAUUGUAACAAGUGUUCCACCUGGGACAGGAGGUUGACAUGUGGUGGGGGAUG